Molecule: long non-coding RNA, 3872 nt
Organism: Passer domesticus (house sparrow)
Lineage: Eukaryota; Metazoa; Chordata; Aves; Passeriformes; Passeridae
Exons: 2
Source: RefSeq, a predicted model, not a curated record
CUGCUGGCAAGUCAGUUCAGAUUCCAAAAAAGCAGAUAGUAUUUAGUCUGAACACUCAAAAUUCACUGCAAAACUUCAGCCGGUAACUGGGACUGACCAGAAGCUGAAGGGACAAUAGUGACAACUGUAUUUUUUUAGCUUUCCAAAGCAAAAGGCUGUUAGUAGCUGGUGCUACUCCUUUUCACAGCUGCUGUACAACCCCUGGAUUCAUCCCACAAGCUGACCUUAGCAGCCAUUGUGUUGCCAGGGACAAUGCAGAUUUGUUCCAUCUGAGAACACCCUAUAGCUGUGUUAGAGUAUGGGCUGAGAUGAGACAGUGCAACAAACCAACUCCCUCUGAAAACAGGAUCUACUGUCCUAACUGCAGGGCUCCCUCUUCAACCCUGGGCCUGUACCAGCCACAAAUGGCUUCACAAACAUACUUAAAAAGGAAAAAAAACCUCAAACCCCGGGCAGCUUUUGUUUUGAGGUAGCUGCAACCACUCUGUGCAGAACAGCAACAGUAUGACUGCUAAGAGCACUGGAACAAGGAGAAAUUCCAGACUCUAAAUACAUGUCCUCAAGCGACAUUUUAACCUCGUGUCUGCUGCCUUGUCCAGAAGAAGAGCUGGAUGGAAGAGUUACCCAGCUCUGGACUGGCACAUGGGGGCUGGUUCAGUGAGCAGCACAUACUGCAGGCACUUGUGGGAUCAUGACCAUCAGCCAGCUGGUGACAUUUCACUGCAGGGACAGACCCUUAACUGCAACAAGGCAGCAGCAAGCAGGCAAGCCACCUAAUUACCAGCUGGGAAAAUGAUGCCAGGACAGCACAUUCAGGAAAGAAGAGACAGAACCAGUUUCUCUGAGGCAAUCAGCACGACUGAGCUGUCCCCCAGCACGUCCAUGCAGCUGCUGCAGACACAGAACAUGCUGGGGGCUGAGCCCAUUACCCCGUGGCACUUCUGGCAGUGUCCCACUGGCUGUCACACAGCCUGCUGCAGGCACCUGAGGCAGGGACUGCAUUCACUGCCUUGUCAGCAGGCUCUGCAGGAACACAGCAGCUCUUGUUCAGAGCCUCGCUCUUGCCUGAAGUGCAAAGCUCUGCACGAGUCCUGGGAGAGAGAGCACAAUGCCCUCCCUCCACCACACAGCCCAAGAGGGAGCCUUCUGUUCAGCAAGCUUCCAACUGCAGGAACCAGACCCAGCUGCCUCCACCAAGAGCUCCCAACAUUUUGCUUCCAUUGCCAAGUAGCCAAACUGAAAUUUAAUCUAAAUUGGGGAAGGCUGAAGAAUAAGCCAAAGCUUUCUCAAGGAAAUCCCCACAAACAGAACAGCCAUUUCAGGAGUGAGAGACAUGACAGACACCUGAUAAACUAAAACACAACUUUGACACAAUGAAAUUCAACUCCUCUUUUGUUAGGAAGUGAAUACUGUUAGCACCAGUGUUUUUCUUGAAUACUUAAAACAUUUUACCUAAGAAGAGUCUUUGUUUUCCUCAACUCUAAGAUAGCAAAGACCUUAAACUAAUGACUUAGUUUGCCUCAAGACAAGUUUGAAGGGCUAAAUUUGAGUUUAUGUCUUGAGAAUUUCAGACUGUUGGUUUUCCCUCCUGUGAUUAGAGCCCAAGAACUCUCCGUAGUGGUGCCUGGGCAUGCAUUAUCUCCAGAGACAUUCCAAGAUACAGUUCUUGACUUGUUUUGUCUGGGAACCACUCACAAACAUUGUACACAUCAGGGUGAACUAUCCACAGCUACUCAAGUGGAAACUUUUGCUUCUUGGAAAAGCAUCAUCAAUUUUUUCCAGAAUCUGACACCAAGAAUGUAUUAAAGCACGCCUUGUUUAAUUGCAAGGGCAGAUGUGAGAACACUGUGCUCCCGUGUUUGCUGGUCACAUUACUGGCAUGUAUUUGGUUCUUAUUUCUGCAGCAAACCCUGUUUCCCCCAUGCCUGCCUUACCCUCCCUCCUAUCUACCUCUGAAAUUCCCUGCCACUGCCAGAGCUGCCUGUGGAGCCAUGUGGCAUUUCCCUCUGACUCACUAAUGUGUCAUAGUACAUCUCUGCAAUAAAUACUUCUUCAAUUAAACCUAUUUCCACCCAAUGGAACCCUUCAGGAACAGAGCUGUUCCCUGCACUGCCACACAAUGGAAUGUCCUGGGCCACCACCAGCAACCUGAGGGGAAAACUAAGCCAAGGCAGAUGUGGGAGCACUUGGCAGAAAGGGAGAGCAACAGGCCUGGCUGAAAGAAAGUUUUGCCGAAUGAGGCCUCUGGAAAGGUGUCACCUAAGGCCAACAAGCCAACUGAAAAUGUAGGCAGUCAAAACCAUAAAGAUAUUAAAUACUGCUUGGCUUUCAAUCUGUUAUCUGAGCACUCAAGAAAACACAUCUGAUGUUAACAUCCCCACUGAACUGAGCAGGAAUGGCAGCAAUGCAAGGAGGACAUGCAAGGAGCAGCUACUUUAACUUCAUCCCAGGGACCAGCAGCAGAGUGGGAACACCAGUGACUUCAGGAGUCUGGAAAAGCCCAGAUUCCCUGCUUAUCUGCAGCUGGACAGAGAGACACCUCCGUUUACAGAGUACAGCCUGUACAUCUGAAAGGCCAAGGUUUCAACUCGGAUCUGAAGCCUGACAGGAAACAGAACUAACAGCUUUUACUACUGUUGUAUAAGAGGCCAUUAUUUGCACACCAUAAACCAGCAAGAAGUACAGAGUCAUCUGCGUAUCACUUGUAGAAAUCUCUUGCCAGCUAGGCUCAAGUUUUUAUUUUGCAUUAUUUGGUCUCUUUUGGCAGGGAGAAGGUGUGCAGGAAAGAAGUGAAACUCUCUUCAGCUUUUAUUUCCCCACCCCCAAGAAGAAAUGUUAUUGACAAGACAAGAAAAGAGGAGUAGGAAAGCAAUUAUUAAAAAAACCCCCCAAACAAUCAAGAAAAAAAACCCCAAAAAACUAUCCUUUGAAUUCCUGAAGGUCAUUUCUUCAGCUUUUAGCCAAAGAGGAAAUUAUCUCCUUCUCUGAGCCACUAUGAAGUUCACUCCCAAAUUAUCAAGGUAGGCAGAACAAGCAAUACCCACAAAAGGCAAUCCCAGCAACAGUACUGAAAAACAGGAACUGCAGUGGCCAGUAGCAGCAGGGCAGAAGUUUUGAGCAGCACCCAUUCCUGUGUUGAAAUAGAAGUUUUUAAGGUAAUGCAGGUGAAAGCUGGUGUGUAACAGGACUCUUGCAGAAAAUCAAAGCUUCUCAGAAACACAUUCAGCACACAAAUCAGCUGUUAUGAGCCUAAAUGCCUGUAAGAAUUUUCUUGUGGCCCUCCAGGCACCUACAGCAACCUAAAGCUCACAUGCCACCCUCAAAAUCAGGCUCUGAAGGCCAGCUCCGGGCAUCCCUGAUAUUUUUUACUGAGGGAUCCUCCUCUCCCGAGGAGACUGCAGUGAAUGCUGAACAACCAGGUGAGGCAAAGGCCCAGAACAGCUUCACAGGCAAGUCCUGGUUGCAGUCAGGCUCUCUCACUCGGGAUUGCUUAGGUCAGCCCUUGCACCCAGCAGGAGCCUCUUGAUAGAGAUUCUGCCAAGGCGAGUAGGAACACGCCAGACAUCACCAGCACCAAUUGUCAUCAGGCUGUUAUCUUGUAUAUGAGGCAUCUGUACCUUGUAAUUACACAGAUCUGGGAAUAGCACUGACUAACAACCACGAAAAAUCAUUUGCACGGUACUCCAAAGACCUUGGACUCAUUUAAUCCAGCAGAAAAGAAACUGAACAUUGUGGCCAGACACAAAAGCUGAAAAUCCAAGCUCUUUUGAUAGCAAGGAUGCCCUCCUGCUGGCACUACCAUACUUUGCCAGAAGGCUUCCACUCUGCCCAAACCCAGUUCAUUUGCAGCCUCUCAAAAAAGCCAACCUAAA